UGCGGGGUAGCGCAGUGGUCAGCGCGCUGGGUUCAUAACCCAGAGGUCGGCGGUUCGAGUCCGUCUCCCGCAU
RNAcentral lists this transfer RNA (73 nucleotides) under Orrella dioscoreae. It matches the Rfam family "tRNA". From Rfam's summary of the family: Transfer RNA (tRNA) molecules are approximately 80 nucleotides in length. Their secondary structure includes four short double-helical elements and three loops (D, anti-codon, and T loops). Further hydrogen bonds mediate the characteristic L-shaped molecular structure. tRNAs have two regions of fundamental functional importance: the anti-codon, which is responsible for specific mRNA codon recognition, and the 3' end, to which the tRNAs corresponding amino acid is attached (by aminoacyl-tRNA synthetases). tRNAs cope with the degeneracy of the genetic code in two manners: having more than one tRNA (with a specific anti-codon) for a particular amino acid; and 'wobble' base-pairing, i.e. permitting non-standard base-pairing at the 3rd anti-codon position. Lineage: Bacteria; Pseudomonadati; Pseudomonadota; Betaproteobacteria; Burkholderiales; Alcaligenaceae. The record is from Rfam by way of RNAcentral.